GAUUUGCAGACACUGAGACUUGCGAUAUAUAUGUAUGGCUUGAGUUAGAUAUUUGGUGUAUUUUUCGCUCGCGAAACCCAUUUUUUUUUCCACUACUCACAAGACAAGAUGCAAAGAAGCUUUAGUUUUAGUUAGUCAGAUAUGGAUAAUAAUGCAUUGCAGUGUUUGUUGAUUUUAGGGAGGAUGUUAGCAUUAGCUAGCUUAGCACGCUAGCCAUAACCUUUGCGCUACUUGGAUUGGAAGGCCUUCUCGCGGUUAAUAGGCGCUUAUUAAUAUGGUUUGCUUGCUGCUAAAAGUAUCGGUUGGAUUAUAUUGGCACAAAACGACAAGGCUAACAACGUUAGCACCUGAACAAGCAGCGAAGUGUUUUGUUCGCUACAGCAGACAGAGCUAAUAAUUAGAGCGUCUGCGUUUUAUGUGUCUUUGUGGAAAAGGUUGGACCUCCUGCUUGUAUUUGGAGUCAGUCAGGGCUGUUCUGCUUGUGUGGCUGUUUUUGUUUAUUUACAUCAGUUAUAUACACGGAAGUGGUAUUUAUGUGUCGAUAAUUCUGCACACGAGAGAGAGAGAGAGAGAGAGAGAGUAUAGAUUACACACCCCUACAAGCACACUAUGGCCAAAAGUUUGUGGACACCUGAUCACCACACCCAUAUGUUGUAGUUCUUCAAAUUGUUGUCCCAAAAAUUGGAAGGACACAGUUGUAUAAAAUGUCUACUUUGAAGAAUCUAAAAUAUGAUUAUUUUUUUAAACACUUCUUGUUCAUGACAUGUUUCAGAGUUUUAGUGUCUUCAGUAUUAUUCUGCAGUGUAGAAAAUUGUCAAAAUACAAAAAAAAAAAAAACCUCUGAAUGAGUAGGGGUGUACAAACUUUUCACUCCUAUGGUGUAUAUACUACAAAUCACUGAUGGUGUAUAAAUCACUUCAGGAUUUUAUUUAACACUUUAAAAAUCUAACUCUUCCCUUUGUUCAUUACAUGUACGGUAUCUUGUAUUCACCGUCUAUGCAUUAUUGUCUUUGUUGAUUGUCUUGUUAUAUUUUACAGCCUUUGUGUUGGUAUAAAAAAAAAAAAAAUCCCUUCAUUGGACCUAAGAGGCCUGUUGCAGCAUGGUGGGGCCAAAGGUGCCCUGUGCCCAAAAAUUGGUGUUGAAGAACCAGGGUUGGGAACUGAAACUCCGUUCCAAACUAGAAGGGAACUCUGUAGAGUUCAUACCUUCACCAAGCCACAUCUUAGCAACAUUAAAAUAAACCUUGGAUGCUGCUAAAGCUGUACACCAAAUUUUGUCAAAAUCUGUUCACUACUUUUUGAGUUACAUUGCGAACAGACUAAUAAACAAACUAACAGAGGCGAAAACAUAACCUCGUACAACAAAGUUGGCAUGAAACCGAAUUCAAAAUACCAAGUACCAGGUACCCCAUAAUACCCCUUUAUUAUUGCGCACAAAAUCUACAUACGUAUACAUAACUAUCUGCCAGGACCUGUCUCUGUGACAUCACACGUCAGUGCAACAGCAUGUCCAUUGCUGUGUCUCAGUUCACGUACCUCUGUUAGUACACUUCCACAUAGUACACUGUGCAUGCUACUUGUGUACUGCAUGAAUUUUGACAAUGUAGUGUUGUCUCAAAUCGAACAUGGCAAGUUGUGCACUUACCAGAAAUGUGGAUUGCAACAUGUGACCGUGAUUGUUGCAUGACCUGCUAAAAUAUCUGCUGGCUUUUGUGCUCACCUCUUAAAAAUGAAGGCGCUUUUCAUUUUCUUCAUUUGUGUGCAUAGAUAUUUCAUGCAGUGUGGAAAAUUGACAUGCUGUCCUCCAACUGGCUGAAAAUAGGUUGGUGGUCCUUUCGCUUUGGCUAUGUAGCCAAGAUGGUGACCAUUGAGGGUGAGAAGCGUACAGUAUUGCACACUGAAUAUUUAGACUGCUUUGAGUACACCAUCUGGAUACUCCUAGUGCACUGCAUGUUGAGAGGCAUGAACCCACUUAUGCAAGAUAAAUAGUAAGUGUAAUUACGGAAAAACAUGAAUCUUGACAUGGUAUUUGUUUACCAAUUUGGAACCGAAACGGGGAAUCAAUAAGCAGAAUCAGUAUCGAUAAGAUUCAAAAGAUACCCAAGCCUAAGAAGAACUCAAGUGGCCUACACAGAGCCCUGACCUCAACCCCACUGAGCACCUUUGGGAUAAACUGGCAUGUCGACUUCACCCCAGGCCUCCUCGCCCAACAUCAGUACCUGAUCUCACUAACGCCCUUGUUCAUUGAUGAAUGAGCACAAAUUCCCACAGCCACACUUCAAAAUCUAAUAGGAAGCCUUCCCAGCAGAGUGGAUUAUUAUAACAGCAAAGCGGGAAUGAAUCUGGAAUGGGGCGCUCAACAAGGACAUACAAGUGUGUUGUGUGUCCACAAACUUUUGCCCAUAUCAUGCGUCUGCAGUCCACUUGGUUUUUGGGUGGAAAUUUUUUUUUACAAUUCAUCUGCUAAGUAGAACAAGCAUUAAUUCACUAAAGUGAAGUUUUGCUUUUGAAACUUCAGUGAGGUUUACAUUGGACGAGUUUGGUCGUGAGUUGUAUCGUAACGUGACAUGCUCACUGGUGACAGCUUUAGUGCCAUUGCAACCAAAGAUGGCUGAUGACAAAGUUCUGGAAGUUUCAGAGUAUUUUAUAAUGAAAAUCUCGCUGUGACUACUUCCAUGACGCUCCAUUAAAAGCUAUCAACAAGAGGAUGGCAUAAGAGUGUGUAAAACUCACAGGACAGCUAUGAAUACAGUCGUGGUGGUGGUGAACAAAACAUGCUAAUAAACAGAAAAAAAAAUCCUUAUUACCUGAAGCUUACUUGGAAAAGUGUUUUUUUUUCCUGUGCGAGCCCAGAAUACAUUGAUUGAUGAUGUAAGCAAAGUGGAGUCAUUUUCUUUUAAUCAGAGAUCUAUCGUAAGCUGAUCUUCAUUGUAUAAUCUGACAUAGUGUACAUUAGUGGGUAUUUGUUAUAGUAUUCGGUCAAGAUUUUUUUGGGAUUCUCUCAUACGCUGUGCCGAGAAAUAAUCUGAAUUAAGCCAGCAUUAUAUUUAUUCGCAAGUUCAAAAGGUUCACCCACAUUGCCAAGAUCACUUAGUUAAUUUGUUUCAGUCAACAAAAGUUGACUUUAAGAAUUUUUUUUCAGGUGUAAAAGUGCGCUCAAAUUAAAAGUUAACAGGAUUAUGAAAACAGAUUUCACAAAACUUUUUCAGAAUGGCUUAAAAGGAUAUCAAAGUUCCUCCAGGUUCUCCGGUUUCCUCCCACCUCCCAAAACAUGCCAGUAUGUGGAUUAGCUACACAAAAUUGCUCCUAGGUGUGAAUGUGUGUGAGGAUGUGUGUUUGUGCAUGGUGAUAAACUGGUGUCCCACCCAGGAUGUGUUCUUGGGUUGCACCCAUUGUUCCCAGUAUAGUAUCCGGAUUCACCAUGAUCCUGAUCAGGAUUAACCGGUUACUGAAGUGGAUUGAUCUUAUAAGCAACAGUGAAAAUUACAGUUCAGAAAUGGAAGAAGUCCAGAGACAAAUAUGUGACCUGAUAGAGUUCAGAACAGGGAGUGUAUGUAAUAUAAUUUCGAAUUUUGUUUCACUAGUAAUAUUAUAAUAAACUAUUUUUGACAGGUUUGUUAUUCAUGAUGUAAAAGGGAGAUUUACAGGGCCAGACAAAAGUUUGUACACCCUUGCUCAUUCAUAGGUUUUUCUGUAUUUUGUAUUUUCUACAUUGUAGAACAAUCCUGAAGAUAUCAAAACUAUGAAAUAACAUGUAUGGAAUUGUGUGGUAAACAAAAAGUGUCAAAAAUAAUCCAAAAUAUGUUUAAUGUUUGAGAUUCUUAGGAAAGUCGCUACCGUUGACCUUGAUGACGCUUUGCACACUAUUGGCAUUAUCUUAACCAGCUUCAUGAGAAGCAAGUUUCCACAGACGGUUUCACUCAGCUGUAAAACAAAUUCAGCUUCUUAUUGGAACACAAGCAGCAGAGAACUGCAACGACGAGACUGUAACUUUGAAAGGAGGGGCAUGCUGAAACCCAAACAGCAGGUGUUUAGCAGAUGCUGUCAUCCAGCGCAACGUACAACAGGACCCUGACAUACCCACAGCAGUGGGCAGCCCAGGGAGCAGUUGGCUUGCUCAAGGGCACUUCAGCCAUUCCUGCUGGCUCAGGGAAUCGUGGCUUCUUCAUGUUAUGGGAGUGGAACCCAAUGUGGUCUUCUGCUGUUGCAUGCUGAGAUGCUUUUCUGCUCACCAUGGUUGUAAAAAGUUACUGUUGUAUCCUUCCUGGCAGCUCGAACCAAUCUGGCCAUUUUCCUCUGACCUCUCUUAACACGGCAUUUGUUUCCACCCACAGACCUGUUGCUCACUCAUUAAGGUUCUACUUUGUGUCCACUCCAAUGCUACAUACUUGUCCUCUUCCAGCUAAUUAAAAACUAACUAACUAACUAACUAACUAACUAACUAACUAACUAACUAACUAACUAACUAACCAACCAACCAACCAACCAACCAACCAACCAACCAAGUAGAGAAUCUACAGCUAAGACAUCAUCUUGAUAUUAAUAUGACAUCAGAGUGUCUGUUUAACUCCAAUGCCCCCCCCAUGCAAUAAGAAAAACACCACAAUCACACAAUUACUAAAACAGCAUUUGGGAACCAAAACAUUCAGGCUUUGUAUUUAUUUGUCUGUAACUAAACCAUGACAAAAUCAUUUCUACCACUGUUUGUAACUGACUGUGAUCGAAAUCACAUCCAUGAUUACAUUGCUUAUUUGAGUUCCUAUGCAAUGACGUGUAUACUUCUCCUUUAUGCUCAUUUUCUCCUCCAGGAGCGUCACCAUCCAAGUGUUUGAGGAAGUAACAGAGAAACAGGAAACUGUGCAGGACUUUGAUAUUGGCCUUUAUUGUCAGAGAGAGCAUUGAAUUCCACAUUCUCAUGUCCAAUCUUACAGUUUUUAAGGAAAUAAAAUGAAUCAUUUUUGAA
Molecule: long non-coding RNA, 4963 nt
Organism: Neoarius graeffei (lesser salmon catfish)
Lineage: Eukaryota; Metazoa; Chordata; Actinopteri; Siluriformes; Ariidae
Exons: 5
Source: RefSeq, a predicted model, not a curated record